Molecule: ribosomal RNA, 404 nt
Filed under: uncultured Roseomonas sp.
Lineage: Bacteria; Pseudomonadati; Pseudomonadota; Alphaproteobacteria; Acetobacterales; Roseomonadaceae
Description: bacterial SSU rRNA
Rfam family: Bacterial small subunit ribosomal RNA
Source: RNAcentral
GGGGAAUAUUGGACAAUGGGCGCAAGCCUGAUCCAGCAAUUCCGCGUGGGUGAAGAAGGUCUUCGGAUUGUAAAGCCCUUUCGUCAGGGACGAUGAUGACGGUACCUGAAGAAGAAGCCCCGGCUAACUUCGUGCCAGCAGCCGCGGUAAUACGAAGGGGGCUAGCGUUGCUCGGAAUUACUGGGCGUAAAGGGCGCGUAGGCGGCUUGGUCAGUCAGGCGUGAAAUUCCUGGGCUUAACCUGGGGGCUGCGUUUGAUACUGCUGAGCUUGAGGAUGGAAGAGGCUCGUGGAAUUCCCAGUGUAGAGGUGAAAUUCGUAGAUAUUGGGAAGAACACCGGUGGCGAAGGCGGCGAGCUGGUCCAUUACUGACGCUGAGGCGCGACAGCGUGGGGAGCAAACAGGA